GUCAGCGUUCCAUUUUCCAAUAUUACGGACAAUCGCAGAACAGGUUUGUACAUGCAAGACAGCCAUCGUUGCAAGAUUCAGCAAGGUCUUUGUCCCUGUCAACAAUAAGUACUGCAUGCCCGUUUGUUAUCUUCCAACUGCAUUGGAAGGUCAUAAUCGUCAUUAUUUUCAGAACAAAGUGCAACAAUGAAUUUAGGAGUGGUCCACAUUGGAGGCUGGUCAACAGUAUUGCUGCCGGAACGAAGCAGAAUUUAUAAUUGCCAAUUUUAGAACCGACAGGAGCGGUUUCUUUUUCUAUACACUUGAAAGUGUAUCAUUCUUUCGACGAGCAACAGAUUCAACAUUUCUUUCUCCUCAAUGUUCAUUGCUCGUGCCAUCAGCAACAUCAGGUUUGCUAUCCGUUGCUUCUUUAUCAGCUGCUCUUUUGCCAUGCAUAAAGGACGUUUGAAAGACUUUUAUAAUGCUGUCUUUUACUUUAGCAUCAGCACAUUUAGUUAAUUCAUUCUCGUCAGCGGACAAUUCAUUCUCAUCAAGGACGUUGACUUGAAGCAGACUUUAAUUUGGCACUUAGAACCAACAGGAGCGGUUCUUUUUCUACAUUUGAAAGUGUUUCAUUCUUUCGACGAGCAACAGAUUCAAUUAUAGUUCUUUCUCCUCAAUUUUCAUUGCUUCUGUUGUUCAAGCUCUGCUUGUUUUU
Paramuricea clavata is the source of this 697-nucleotide non-coding RNA. NCBI's taxonomy places the organism in Eukaryota, Metazoa, Cnidaria, Anthozoa, Malacalcyonacea, Plexauridae. The record is from the annotation of a GenBank genome assembly.